GAUGGGAAAGCAGAGAGGGAAGAAACCUGGUUACUAUCACCCGAGUUCCUGAAUUAACUAACCUGGAAACCUAACUCCAGACGUCUUAUUUUGUACUAUUUAAUAAUUUUAAAUUGGGUUUUUGCUUCAGGCAACUGAAAGCACCCCAAUCCGAACUGACAGGAUUUGGAGAGUAAUAUUUGAAGAUAAGGCUGGUGGGACCAAGAAGAGAGCUUGGCAAUCCACGUGUGCCAUGUAGAAGCUGCCGUCUGGCAUAGCAGAAAGGAAAACUGAGAGGAGGAACUGCAUUCAGCAAUUCUAAUCUGACCGAUGGAGCUUAUUAUACGAAUACUUAAUAGCAUUCCAAAUACCAACAACAUUUUCUGUAUACUUCUUCUUAAGAAAUAUUUGCUUAAAACACAAACACUGAGAAUUUUUACAUGAUUUAUUUAAUAAUAAACCAAUUAAAGAUACAAAAACGUUUAGAGGCUUCCAAAAUUUAAAUUUUUGCUUAAAUACAAAUUCACUCUGUAAUAUGAAAACAUAGAACAAGAGACCUCUAAACAUGAUUUUUUUCAUCUACAAAAGUUUCUCCUUUGCUGUACUAGAAAAUUUGCAGAAAACAAUUUUUCUUGUGAAAUUAAAUGUACAUUAUUUACAGUUGAAAAGUAAUCUAAAAACUAUUUCAUUUCCGAGACUCAGAUAUAUAUGUAUAUUAUCUUUGUACGCAACCCCCCCAACUCCCAAUAAAAAAAUGAUCCAAAAUAUAAAGCAAUUAUGCUUUUAUAGCAACUGACUACUCAGCCAGAUGAGCCCAAGGUGUGGUUGCUUUCUGGGCCCUUAAGAAAGAGCCUUGACUCUUUCAGAAUGGCAGUACAUCAUUUAGCACUCAGCAAUGUAAGUUUACUGAUGGGCCACGGUACACAGUGGCCUAAAAAGUUAAUGAACACAGUAUUU
This is a long non-coding RNA of Panthera uncia (snow leopard), 936 nucleotides long. RefSeq lists it as uncharacterized. Lineage: Eukaryota; Metazoa; Chordata; Mammalia; Carnivora; Felidae. The transcript is spliced from 2 exons. The record is from RefSeq and is a predicted model, not a curated record.